CUUCUGCACAGUUCCAAUUAAUAUUGAUUUUACCACAAGAUUAGUAAACAUGAAUUUAUUUAGUGGCUGGAGGUAAGUAAUUUGUUCAAAAGGAGAAGGCAGGUAUAGGAAGACCGGGCGUAUCCUAAUUGAUUUGGCCUCCUUUUUAGUGAAAUCUGUGUAGUUUUGACAAAUAUGUUUUUGCUUCUCAAACUUUGAUGUUUUCUCUAUAAAAAUAUUUGAUCUGGGUAAAUUUAGAAAGUUAUGGAAGCUAUGGAAGCUUGUAAAUAAUCUUAAGGAGUAAGAAAUUU
Molecule: long non-coding RNA, 290 nt
Filed under: Brassica napus (rape)
Lineage: Eukaryota; Viridiplantae; Streptophyta; Magnoliopsida; Brassicales; Brassicaceae
Description: long non-coding RNA (BNAP_LNC000405)
Source: RNAcentral